AACGAACGCUGGCGGCAUGCCUAACACAUGCAAGUCGAACGGGACAUUCGGGUCUGGUGGCGCACGGGUGCGUAGAGGGGGGGAACCUGCCCUUAGAUUCGGAAUAACUCCCCGGAAGGGGUGCUAAUACCGGCGAAUAUAUUGGGACCAAAGAUUUAUCGCCUUUGGGUGGGCCCGCGUUGUAUUAGCAAGAGGUUAGGGUAAAAGCCUACAAAGGCGAGGAUCCAUAGCUGGUCUGAGAGGCUGAUCUGCGACACUGGGACUGGGACACGGCCCAGACUCUUGCGGGAGGCAGCAGUGGGGAAUAUUGGACUAUGGGCGAUAGCCUGAUCCAGCUAUGCCGCUUGAGUGAUUAAGGCCUUAGGGUUGUAAAGCUCUUUUACCCGUUAUGAUAAUGACAGUACCGGGAGAAUAAGCACCGGCUAACUCCGUG
RNAcentral lists this ribosomal RNA (433 nucleotides) under uncultured bacterium. RNAcentral describes it as "partial 16S ribosomal RNA". It matches the Rfam family "Bacterial small subunit ribosomal RNA", at positions 29 to 507 of the family's 1533-position model. The record is from RNAcentral.